CUCGCAACGAUGAAGAACGCAGCAAAAUGCGAUAAGUAGUGUGAAUUGCAGAAUACGUGAAUCAUCGAAUCUUCGAACGCAUAUUGCACUUUUCUAGUUUACUAGAAAAGUAUGUCUGUUUGAGUAUCA
Molecule: ribosomal RNA, 129 nt
Filed under: Neurospora tetrasperma FGSC 2509
Lineage: Eukaryota; Fungi; Ascomycota; Sordariomycetes; Sordariales; Sordariaceae
Description: 5.8S ribosomal RNA
Rfam family: 5.8S ribosomal RNA
About the family: 5.8S ribosomal RNA (5.8S rRNA) is a component of the large subunit of the eukaryotic ribosome. It is transcribed by RNA polymerase I as part of the 45S precursor that also contains 18S and 28S rRNA. Functionally, it is thought that 5.8S rRNA may be involved in ribosome translocation.
Source: Rfam by way of RNAcentral